This 508-nucleotide ribosomal RNA is filed under the name uncultured bacterium. RNAcentral describes it as "partial 16S ribosomal RNA". It matches the Rfam family "Bacterial small subunit ribosomal RNA", at positions 28 to 507 of the family's 1533-position model. The record is from RNAcentral.
GACGAACGCUGGCGGCGUGCUUAACACAUGCAAGUCGAACGGGCCUUGUCCCCUUUUUUUUUGGGGGUGGGGUUAGUGGCGAACGGGUGAGUAACACGUGAGUAACCUGCCCCUCACUUCUGGAUAACCGCUUGAAAGGGUGGCUAAUACGGGGUGUUCUGGCCUGCUCGCAUGGGUGGGUUUGGAAAGAUUCGACCGGUUUUGGUUGUUUUGGGGGGGGAUGGGCUCGCGGCCUAUCAGCUUGUUGGUGGGGUGAUGGCCUGCCAAGGCUUUGACGGGUAGCCGGCCUGAGAGGGUGGGCGGUCACACUGGGACUGAGACACGGCCCAGACUCCUACGGGAGGCAGCAGUGGGGAAUAUUGCACAAUGGGCGCAAGCCUGAUGCAGCGACGCCGCGUGAGGGAUGGAGGCCGUCGGGUUGUGAACCUCUUUCGCCAGUGAAGAAGGUCCUGCUCUUUGUGGUGGGGUUGACGGUAGCUGGGUUAAUGAAGCGCCGGCUAACUACGUG